CCUACGGGCGGCUGCAGUAGGGAAUUUUCGGCAAUGGGGGGAACCCUGACCGAGCAACGCCGCGUGAACGAAGAAGUUAUUCGUAAUGUAAAGUUCUUUUAACAGGGAAGAAAGAGAAAUUUGACGGUACCUGAAGAAUAAGAUCCGGCUAACUACGUGCCAGCAGCCGCGGUAAUACGUAGGGAGCGAGCGUUAACGGGUAUUAUUGGGCGGAAAGGGUGCGUAGAUGGCAUAGUAAGUGUUUGGUAAAGAUGCUGGGCCAAACCCAGUAGGGCAAAAGAUACUGAAAAGCUAGAGUAUGACAGAGGCUAGUGGAACUACAUGUGUAGCGGUAAAAUGCUUAGAUAUAUGUAAGAACUCCAGUCGCGAAGGCGGCUUGCUGGGUCGAUACUGACACUGAGGCACGAAAGCGUGGGGAGCAAACAGGAUUAGAUACCCUUGUAGUC
RNAcentral lists this ribosomal RNA (446 nucleotides) under uncultured bacterium. Its description in RNAcentral is "partial 16S ribosomal RNA". It matches the Rfam family "Bacterial small subunit ribosomal RNA", at positions 338 to 795 of the family's 1533-position model. The record is from RNAcentral.